Hibiscus syriacus is the source of this 909-nucleotide long non-coding RNA. RefSeq lists it as uncharacterized. The record is from RefSeq and is a predicted model, not a curated record. Lineage: Eukaryota; Viridiplantae; Streptophyta; Magnoliopsida; Malvales; Malvaceae. The transcript is spliced from 3 exons.
GGAAUAAACUCCGAUUUAGCGGGGAAGGAGGGCCGCCGCCUAGCUUUCGAGGAAGCUACCGAGCUAGGGUUUCAAAUUGAUGGUGAACUUGCAAAUGAUUAGAGGUGUAGUUUAUCUUAAAUCACUCUGCUGCAAAUGCUAACUGGAAGAGAAAGUUUGUGCAGAUUGAUGGGCAAACGCCGUUGUUUCUUGCCAGCUUUCAAUCUAUUCUCUCUUCGCCAAUCCAGUUCUUCGAAUCUAUUGUCUGAUUGAAAUGGAAGUUUGGCUGAAACUGAAUGUUCCAAAGGCAAGGCUGAAAUAUCAGGCUCCGAUCAGUCCUUGUAGAAAAAGAGAGGGUGUUCAUGUUUUGAACUUGUUACUUCACCUGGAGUCAGAGCAAUUACACAACGAAAGCAUGUACGUUUCUUGCACUCAUUACACAUAUAGGAGAAGGCAUUAGACCAGAAACUACAACUCACAAAGGAAAAAUGAGCCUGAAGUAAGCUUGAGAGGUUCUUGACAUCGAUGAUGCCAAACAUGCUUCACCCUAGGUAACAUGGCACAAACUUUAUGAAGAAAAAAAUUACGCUCCAGACAAUAGUAAAAUGAAUCCGAAAGCGGUAACAUGCACCCAUCACAACUUUUAUCAUGCUCCAUAAUCAUGUCACUUAACAUUAGGUUAUGCUUAUGCUUGAUGUGUUUUACUUCUAUAGCAUCCCCAGCAUUGUUCCUCUGAAAAACACAAGUGAUGGACUCAACAGAUUUAUCUAGCAACUUCAAACUUCCGCUAGAUUUCUCAUCUUCGUUUUCGAGUGAAACUACAAAAUAUGAACUUUCAUACUUCGUCACACAAUUCACAUGGAAUAUAAUCUUGCAAUCCAAACACGAGUAAUUACCGAGCUCUUCAUUGACCUUACAACGACAAAUUAU